Molecule: long non-coding RNA, 1479 nt
Organism: Ictalurus punctatus (channel catfish)
Lineage: Eukaryota; Metazoa; Chordata; Actinopteri; Siluriformes; Ictaluridae
Source: Ensembl
CCAGAAUCUUUGUGAUAUUCUCCACUGUAUCCUUCAAUUCUCAACUAAAAAAACAUGUCUUCCCGCAGUGUUAUUACUACAUGCAGUAGGAAGGCCUCAAAGUGAGGAGAUUGCUGUGAGGCCUGUUCACACAGGGACGUUUUUCGACGCCCAGGCGUUAAAUGCGGGCGACGCCCUGAAUGAAAGUGCAAAUCCACUCCCUGACAGUAAAUGGGGUUUAUUUAAAAGCAGAAAUACUCCGGUACACAAGGUGGCGUUGCACAACUUUCCGUUUCUGAUACCUGCUCAUCACUGACAAGAAGAAGAGAGCCAGUAUUUACUUCUUUGCAAAAACUGUUCACACACAUUUAUCGAACUCGCUAAAGCACCUGACUACGAGAUCCAAGCUUCUGACUGAAACACAGCAACUCAAACAACAAAACUCAGGAGCUCCGCAAUCUCCUGCCCAAAUAUCAAAACUCAAAGGUAGGUGUCUGUAUGCAAAUGUAAGAUACAUUCAUGGUCUCAGCAUCGUGCAAUAAUUGUUGUUGGAGUUUGACCAAUGACAGCUGGGGUGGGGAUAAUCUCUUUAGUGUAGGUACCAAGCCAUGAAUAAAAAAAGUAUAUGUCAUCUUUCUUUAGCUCUCUCUUUUGCUGUGUCCGUUGCUCUUUUGCUCCUCUUUCUCUCUUUCCCUGGCAUCUUUGGACAACGAGUACUUCUCCAAGAAGUCCAGCAUGUCUGACGGCUUUCUUUUCCCUGCACUGAACCUCAUCACUGCUGGGCUGGUGAUUGAUACUCCUGAAGAAAUACUUGCAGAUCUUCAAACAAAAUGCAAUAUAAAACAAAGGCCCUGAAGCAGCAAAUCAUCCCCACACCAUCUCACUUCCACCACCAUGCUUGACUGUAGGUUUGAGGAUCAUCAAGGUGUGUUUUGCAAAAAUUCAGAUGAGCCUUAAUGUUCUUCUGGGUUAGCAGUGGUUUUCACCUCACCACUCUUCCAUGGAUGCCAUUUUUGCCCAGUGUCUUUCUGAUCAUUUAAUCAUGAACAGUGACCUUUAUUGAUUCAAGAGAGGUCUGUAGGUCCUUUGUCCUUGUCUUUUUUGUGACUUCCUGGAUGAGUCGUUGCUGUGCUCCUGGAGGAAUUGUGGAAGGUCAGCCACUUCUGGGAAGGUUCAUUACUGUGACACGUUUUUUCCAUUUGGAGAUAAUGUUGUUCCCUGUUGUUCUUUAGAGUCCCAGAGCCUUUGAAAUAGCUUUGUAACCUGUCCCAGACUGAUGUAUUUCAAUCACCUUCUUCCUCAUCAUUUCUGGAAUUUCUUUCAUAAUGUGUUCCUGGGUAAGACAUUUUAACCAAGUUCAUGCUAUUGCCUGGUUGCAUCUAGUGCAGCCGAACCCCAAUGAAUGCAGUUUCAUAGAUUUCCGGAAUUUGUAAACAAUUGGUAUUGGAUGACAUUUUUUGCGUCAAUAAAUAACAUUAUCAUUUAAAAAUUGUAUCUUGU